Small nucleolar RNA from Molossus molossus (Pallas's mastiff bat), 84 nucleotides. RefSeq annotates it as small nucleolar RNA R38. The record is from RefSeq and is a predicted model, not a curated record. The transcript has a single exon. NCBI's taxonomy places the organism in Eukaryota, Metazoa, Chordata, Mammalia, Chiroptera, Molossidae.
CUGAGUCCAUGAUGAUGUGAAGUUAUCCCUGUCUGAAGGCAAACAAAGGCCUUUCAGUGUGGAGUAUGGAUGUCUGAGACUCGG